AUCCCCACUUUCUGGCCUCCCCACCAUGAGCCGCCAAUUCACCUACAAGUCGGGAGCUGCUGCCAAGGGGGGCUUCAGCGGCUGCUCGGCUGUGCUCUCAGGGGGCAGCUCAUCCUCCUAUCGAGCAGGGGGCAAAGGGCUCAGUGGGGGCUUCAGCAGUCAGAGCCUUUACAGCCUGGGGGGUGCCCGGAGCAUCUCUUUCAAUGUGGCCAGUGGCAGUGGGUGGGCAGGAGGCUAUGGAUUUGGCCAGGGCCGGGCCAGUGGCUUUGCUGGCAGCGUGUUUGGCAGUGUGGCCUUGGGGUCCGUGUGUCCGUCCUUGUGCCCGCCCGGGGGUAUCCAUCACGUCACCAUCAACAAGAGCCUUCUGGCACCCCUGAACGUGGAGCUGGAUCCUGAAAUCCAGAAAGUGCGUGCCCAGGAGCGGGAGCAGAUCAAGGUGCUGAACAACAAGUUCGCCUCCUUCAUCGACAAGGUGCGGUUCCUGGAGCAGCAGAACCAGGUGCUGGAGACCAAGUGGGAGCUGCUGCAGCAGCUGGACCUGAACAACUGCAAGAAUAACCUGGAGCCCAUCCUCGAGGGCUACAUCAGCAACCUGCGGAAGCAGCUGGAGACGCUGUCCGGGGACAGGGUGAGGCUGGACUCGGAGCUGAGGAGCGUGCGCGAAGUGGUGGAGGACUACAAGAAGAGGUAUGAAGAAGAAAUAAACAAGCGCACAACUGCUGAGAAUGAAUUUGUGGUGCUUAAGAAGGACGUGGAUGCAGCUUACAUGAGCAAAGUGGAGCUGCAGGCCAAGGUGGAUGCCCUGGAUGGAGAAAUCAAGUUCUUCAAGUGUCUGUACGAGGGGGAGAUUGCUCAGAUCCAGUCCCACAUCAGUGACACGUCCAUCAUCCUGUCCAUGGACAACAACCGGAACCUGGACCUGGACAGCAUCAUUGCUGAGGUCCGCGCCCAGUAUGAGGAGAUCGCCCGGAAGAGCAAGGCCGAGGCCAAGGCCCUGUACCAGACCAAGUUCCAGGAGCUGCAGCUAGCAGCCGGCCGGCAUGGGGAUGACCUGAAACACACCAAAAAUGAGAUCUCAGAGCUGACCCGUCUCAUCCAAAGGCUGCGCUCGGAGAUUGAGAGUGUGAAGAAGCAGGUGAAGGGGACUGGAGCGUUCCUUACUCACUCCUAAGGGAGGGGUGAACUGCUUAGCACCCCCUACCCCCUCCUUCUCCUGAGCAUCCAUUUCAGAAUCCCCUUCCUCAAAUGGAGGUCCUGCUCUCAUCCCUCACCCUUAGCUCCCAUCUGAAGUUUGGAACAAUUGCAGAUUAUUUUCAUAAAGCUGUGGGGCCCAGUAUAACAAGCCUCUCAGUCCCAGGUUGACAGGACUCCACCUGGAUGUGGCUGGGUCUCUGCUCCAGGACAUGGGGCAGGACAGAGGAGGGCUCAACCACUGAGAGCAUGGGAGAGGUGAAGUGAGGCCCAGGGAGGAACUCAGGGAGAAAUGCUACCUCCUGACCCCAGUGUGCCAACCUGGAGACGGCCAUCACUGACACUGAGCUGCGGGGGGACUGCGCCCUCAAGGAUGCCAGGGCCAAGCUGGAUGAGCUGGAGGGCGCCCUGCAGCAGGCCAAGGAGGAGCUGGCACGGAUGCUGCGCGAGUACCAAGAGCUUUUGAGCGUGAAGCUGUCCCUGGAUAUUGAGAUCGCUACCUACCGCAAGCUGCUGGAGGGCGAGGAGUGCAGGAUGUCCGGAGAAUAUACCAAUUCUGUGAGCAUUUCGGUCAUCAACAGCUCCAUGGCUGGGACGGCAGGCACAGGGGCUGGCUUUGGAUUCAGCAAUGCUGGCACCUAUGGCUACUGGCCCAGCUCUGUCAGCGGGGGCUACAGCAUGCUGCCUGGGGGCUGUGUCACUGGCAGUGGGAACUGCAACCCCCGUGGGGAAGCCAGGACCAGGCUGGGGAGUGCAAGUGAAUUCAAGGACUCCCAGGGAAAGACCUUAGCUCUAAGCUCACCCACCAAAAAAACCAUGAGAUAAAAGUGCAAGGCAGCUCACUUCCCAGUAGUCUGCCUUGCCCUGGCAGAUUGCUCUGGACUCCUCUAGGAAAUUCCUCUGUCUCAUUUGUCCUCAUCUCCUUCUUGCUUUGCUUUGCUGUGGACCUCUCCUCCUUCUCCUUGACCUCUCUGCCUCAGUCUUUGUUAAUGUUGAAUCAGGAUCUGAGAGCUGGAGCCCAUCUUUCUGCCUCCAUCCAAAGAGGCCUUUUAACUCAGCCUCCCCUUCUGAAUGAAGACUUGGCCCUUUCUCUGCCUGCAUGUCCCUGUGCAGAGGAAGUCUGUCUCUCAAGGGUAACCCCAAUCUGCCUGCGCUGCUCUUUCAUACCCUGUCUCAGUAACUAUUUGGCCAUGUGCUCCCUGGAUACACAAGGUUUCAGAUCUACUGAUAGACCGGCAAGAACCCUCUCAUGUUAGAGCAAUACUGGCUCAGGCAAAACGCCUGG
Molecule: small RNA, 2476 nt
Filed under: Pongo abelii (Sumatran orangutan)
Lineage: Eukaryota; Metazoa; Chordata; Mammalia; Primates; Hominidae
Description: retained intron
Source: RNAcentral